Molecule: ribosomal RNA, 592 nt
Filed under: Macrophthalmus aff. japonicus
Lineage: Eukaryota; Metazoa; Arthropoda; Malacostraca; Decapoda; Macrophthalmidae
Description: partial 16S ribosomal RNA
Source: RNAcentral
UGUAAAUAGCUUGUUAAAAAUGAUAUAGGUAAAGGGAGGAAAGAAAAAUAAUUUUAAAGAAAAAUUGUGUUAGUAAUUUUUAAUGAAAGUAGGAUAAAGACUAGAGAGAAAAGUACUGUGAAGGAAAGCAAUAAGACUUAGUAUAGGAAAAGUAAACUUUUGUGCCUUGUGUAUCAGAAAAAAUUUAUAUAAUUUAGUCAGUCUAAAGGUCUCGAAAUAAAAUAUAGUAAUUUUUAUAAAAUUUUCUUUUUAGAAAAAAAGAAUUUAAUGUAAAAUUUAAAGUGAAACGCUAGUUGAGUUUUAUUAUAUCUAGUUUUUUUAAAAAUAAAUUGAAUUUAUUUUUUAUAGCUAUAAGAUAUAAAAUUUAAUGGCAAGAGGGAACAGCUUCUUGUGUAAAAUGUUGUAAAAUAGUUAAGUAAUAGGAUAUUUUAUAGAUUAGGCUUAAAAGUAGCCAUAUUUAAAAAGUGUUUUAACUAAAUUAUGGUUUAAAAAUAUUUAGGGUAACUUUUUCAAUGUAUAAAAAAAUUAUUUGAAAUGUAAAAGAAUAAAAUAUAAUGAUUUUAUUAGUAAAAUUUGCUAUGAAAAUGAGUGU